CUGUGGAACCCAAUGUGGGACUUGCAAUCCUCGACUUGUUGGGAAAUCUGGUCUUCCCCUUGCUGUUACUGGGAACUUUGUUCCUUAGAUCUUCAUCACCGAAUACUCCAGGAAGCCCCAACUUGCCUUUUGGACUGGGAAGGUAAUCAGUUAUCAUAGAGAAAUAAAUAAUUCAACACAAAACAUAAUUCUUGUUGAGCUCAAGUAAAAUCUUUGAUAGCAAUGUAGGAACUUAGGCUUACUGGUUCAGAAGAAGGUACGCACACAAAGCAUUGAUGCUUAUGAACUCUGUGCAGGUCAAAAGCCGAGUUUCAGAUGGAACCCAACACAGGAAUCACCUUUGAUGAUGUAGCUGGAGUCGAUGAAGCAAAGCAGGAUUUCAAGGAGAUUGUUGAAUUCCUGAAAUCCCCAG
This 412-nucleotide long non-coding RNA is filed under the name Musa acuminata (dwarf banana). RNAcentral describes it as "long non-coding RNA (MACU_LNC006285)". Lineage: Eukaryota; Viridiplantae; Streptophyta; Magnoliopsida; Zingiberales; Musaceae. The record is from RNAcentral.